RNAcentral lists this long non-coding RNA (540 nucleotides) under Capsicum annuum. RNAcentral's name for it is "long non-coding RNA (CANN_LNC017839)". The record is from RNAcentral. Lineage: Eukaryota; Viridiplantae; Streptophyta; Magnoliopsida; Solanales; Solanaceae.
GAGAGUUCUCUUGACCACUUCAUGAAGACUUACUUCAUUAUCUACGGGGAAACUCCCGAAUUCUCUAUGAAAAAUACAUAAAUAGGUUGAAAAGAAAGAGUAUUAGUUGGAGAUGUUGAAUGCAAUGAAUUGCAUAAAAAGCUAUCAAUUCCUUGACCACUUCAUCAAGUCUUAUUUUGUUAUUUCAUAAGGGCUUACUUCAUUGCUUUAAGCCUUGUUGAAGUGUUUGGGGGCUCUUGGGUUCACUUGGAAAUUACGUAAAAAGGUAGAAAUACAAGAGUACCAGGCGAUGCUGAACACAAUGGUUCACAACGCUUCAUCAAGGAUUUUUUCCUUGUUUUAUGUCUUACUAUAGUGUUUGAAGGAAUUCCCGGGGUCAAUUUAAAAAUUACACAAACAAGUAGAAGUGCAAGAGUACUAGCUGGAGAUGGUGAACUUGCAUGGUUCACAUGUAAAUCUAUCAAAGGUGUUUCGUAGAGUUACCUUGCCACUUCAUUAGCACUUACUUCAUUGUUUGAAGCUCUGUCGAAGUGUUUGGGG